Molecule: ribosomal RNA, 495 nt
Filed under: uncultured bacterium
Lineage: Bacteria
Description: partial 16S ribosomal RNA
Rfam family: Bacterial small subunit ribosomal RNA
Source: RNAcentral
GACGAACGCUGGCGGCGUGCCUAAUACAUGCAAGUAGAACGCUGAAGGAGGAGCUUGCUUCUCCGGAUGAGUUGCGAACGGGUGAGUAACGCGUAGGUAACCUGCCUGGUAGCGGGGGAUAACUAUUGGAAACGAUAGCUAAUACCGCAUAAGAGUAGAUGUCGCAUGACAUUUGCUUAAAAGGUGCAACUGCACCACUACCAGAUGGACCUGCGUUGUAUUAGCUAGUUGGUGAGGUAACGGCUCACCAAGGCAACGAUACAUAGCCGACCUGAGAGGGGGAUCGGCCACACUGGGACUGAGACACGGCCCAGACUCCUACGGGAGGCAGCAGUAGGGAAUCUUCGGCAAUGGACGGAAGUCUGACCGAGCAACGCCGCGGGAGUGAAGAAGGUUUUCGGAUCGUAAAGCUCGGUUGUAAGAGAAGAACGAGUGUGAGAGUGGAAAGUUCACACUGUGACGGUAUCUUACCAGAAAGGGACGGCUAACUACGUG